Fukomys damarensis (Damara mole-rat) is the source of this 1644-nucleotide long non-coding RNA. The record is from Ensembl. NCBI's taxonomy places the organism in Eukaryota, Metazoa, Chordata, Mammalia, Rodentia, Bathyergidae.
UGCAAGCAUAGGCUUUCAAACAAGCACUGCAUGUCUCUGCUUGCAUUCUCCUUCCUCCGUCAGAGCCACGAGAUCGCCAUGAAGGACAGCCUAUUUGGAAGGCAGAGCUCAGCCACCCCGGUUGUCCAGCUAUGUCCAUCUUCUAAGAUCUCCUGACAACCAGAUAACCUCCAGAUAUGAUGGUGCAGACCAGACUCCGCCUGAGACGUGGGAUCCCAGCACAACCUCUCAGGAUCCCUAUGUAGAAGUUCUCGAGAGUUUCCUUGAGAUUUGGACCCAAAGGACACAUCAUUUCAGUGAAGAGCUUGCUAUGGAACUUUCUGCAAUAGCCCACAGCUUCUCGAACACUCAGAACCACUGAACAGUUCCACUGUGUGUAGUUUCAAGACACACACACGUGUCACGGAGCCACACUGCACACCUGGAGUCAGGAGAUCUUGCUGACACAGAUGCCGUGCAGACACCGAGGGGCAGAGAUAUUAACUGGCCACACAUCAGUAGCAGGGAGCAGUUCAAACACAGUUGAUCUCCACAGCCCAAACUGCCCACGGCUGAGUGGCCUUGGACACAGCACUCUUCUCCUUUUGGUGCUUCAGCUUCUUCCUCAGUGCAAUGGAGAUGUUGUAGUAAAGAUGAAAUAUGUUAAUGGGCAGAAAAUGCCCGAAUAAAUUUAAGUUAUUCAUUGUAGCCCAAGCCUGCAAGUUGGAUUUUUUUUGUGGGGAGAGGGUACCGGGGAUUGAACUCUGGUCCUUAUGCUUGUGAGGCAGGCAGCAGAACCACUGAGCUAAAUCCCUGGCCCUGAAGUUGGAAUUUUUAUCACACUUAUAUUUUACUGUAUCCCACUGGUCCAGUCCAUCUUUACUAUAAAGAUAAAAAACGUUCCCAAGAUCUUAAGAAAAUAAAUUUUAAAAAAAAGUUUUAUUCCAGAAAUUCUCAAAGUGCACUGAAAAAUGUUGGAUCCACCUUUCUCCUGAGUAGCAUAGGGGUGGAUUACACCACUGUGAGAGGCAGCAAUACAGGAGCAAAAGCCUGCAUGGACUGGGGUGCCCAUCUGCAGAAACCCAGCUCUCUGCAUUUCCGAAUAAUUUGAUUCACACCAUCUGGCAGCUUGAAAGAAAAAGAAAAAAAGAAGAGGGAGAAGAAACAACAGCCAUGUAGCAUGAAUGUAAUUCCUAAUCUAAGUUAUGCACUCUCAUUUGCUUCAUGUGAUAUGAGCCAAAUUUAAACAUGUCAACAUCUCAACAAUUGCUGAUUUUUUAACUGUUAUAUGGUGCAUCUGGUGGGCACUCAUUGAAUGUUCUUCGAUGACAGUGACGUAAAUGUAUUUACUAAAAUAUAGUGUAUUGAACAAGGAAAUAGUAUACUGUGAUGUCCUUUAGUUUGUGUUUGCAUAAAUUGGUGCUCUCUGAAAUAUGUGCAUUGAAAUUUAAAAGAGCAUGACUAUGCUUUUAAAAUGUUCAAAAAUCAUAAUUAUAGAGCUUGCAAGCCACUGAAUCCAUUUCCUUCAUUUUAAACACAGGAAAACAGGCCAAGAUUAGGUUUUGAUAGUGAGGGAGCUCAAGGACCCUAGACCCUGGCAAGGGGAAGAUAGGGGAGAGAGCCACAGGGCUGCAUAGAGGGACCACACAGGCUCUGGAACCCAGG